UGAGGACCAAGUAUGCAAAUAGUGGAG
Molecule: non-coding RNA, 27 nt
Filed under: Rattus norvegicus (Norway rat)
Lineage: Eukaryota; Metazoa; Chordata; Mammalia; Rodentia; Muridae
Source: RNAcentral